RNAcentral lists this ribosomal RNA (230 nucleotides) under uncultured microorganism. RNAcentral describes it as "partial 16S ribosomal RNA". It matches the Rfam family "Bacterial small subunit ribosomal RNA", at positions 524 to 753 of the family's 1533-position model. The record is from RNAcentral.
UACGAAGGGGGCUAGCGUUGUUCGGAAUUACUGGGCGUAAAGGGCGCGUAGGCGGAUGAUCAAGUCAGGGGUGAAAGGCCGGGGCUCAACCUCGGAACUGCCUUUGAUACUGGUCGUCUGGAGUUCGGGAGAGGUGAGUGGAAUUCCGAGUGUAGAGGUGAAAUUCGUAGAUAUUCGGAGGAACACCAGAAGCGAAGGCGGCUCACUGGCCCGAGACUGACGCUGAGGCG